AUUGAACGCUGGCGGCAUGCUUUACACAUGCAAGUCGAACGGCAGCACGAUAGAGCUUGCUCUGUUGGUGGCGAGUGGCGAACGGGUGAGUAAUGCAUCGGAACGUACCGAGUAUUGGGGGAUAACUGCCCGAAAGGAGAGUUAAUACCGCAUACGCUUUGAGAAGGAAAGUGGGUGCUCUUCGUACCUCACGUUAUUCGAGCGUCCGAUGUCUGAUUAGCUAGUUGGUGGGGUAAAGGCCUACCAAGUCGACGAUCAGUAGCGGGUCUGAGAGGAUGCUGCGCCACACUGGGACGGAGACACGGCCAAGACUCCUACGGGAGGCAGCAGUGGGGAAUUGUGGACAAUGGGGGCAAGCCUGAUCCAGACAUGCCGAGUGUCUGAAGAAGGCCUUCGGGUUGUAAAGAACUUUUGUUAGGGAAGAAAAGGAUAGUGUUAAUACCAUUAUCUGCUGACGGUACCUAAAGAAUAAGCACCGGCUAACUACGUG
RNAcentral lists this ribosomal RNA (490 nucleotides) under uncultured bacterium. RNAcentral describes it as "partial 16S ribosomal RNA". It matches the Rfam family "Bacterial small subunit ribosomal RNA", at positions 30 to 507 of the family's 1533-position model. The record is from RNAcentral.